AGCAGCCGCGGUAAUUCCAGCUCCAAUAGCGUAUAUUAAAGUUGUUGCAGUUAAAAAGCUCGUAGUUGAAUUUCGGGAUCAAAUUGUUGGUCGUGCUUCGGUACGCACUGGCAUUAUUGGUUUCUACCUUCUGAAGAACCGCGAUGUCAUUAAUUUGGUGUCGUGGGGAAUCAGGACUGUUACUUUGAAAAAAUUAGAGUGUUUAAAGCAGGCGCACGCUUGAAUACAUUAGCAUGGAAUAAUGAAAUAGGACGUUUGAUUCUAUUUUGUUGGUUUCUAGGAUCGACGUAAUGAUUAAUAGGGAUAGUUGGGGGCAUUAGUAUUCAAUUGUCAGAGGUGAAAUUCUUGGAUUUAUUGAAGACUAACUACUGCGAAAGCAUUUGCCAAGGAUGUUUUCAUUAAUCAAGAACGAAAGUUAGGGGAUCGAAGACGAUCAGAUACCGUCGUAGUCUUAACCAUAAACUAUGCCGACUAGGGAUCGGAUGAUGUUAAUUUUAUAAUGACUC
RNAcentral lists this ribosomal RNA (506 nucleotides) under uncultured Glomeromycotina. RNAcentral describes it as "SSU rRNA". It matches the Rfam family "Eukaryotic small subunit ribosomal RNA", at positions 569 to 1077 of the family's 1831-position model. Lineage: Eukaryota; Fungi; Glomeromycota. The record is from RNAcentral.